GUCAAGGAUAUAAGCAGUGCAACCCAAGACCUAAGAAUCUUGAUGUUGGAAAUAAAGAUGGCGGAAGCUAUGACCUACACAGGUAUUCACACUUUUUUAUUCUUCUCGGCAGCUUCUUCCCCAAUAAUUGCAUGAUCCAGUCAUUUCAACUAAUUUCUGUUUCUUACCAUGUUGCACAGAGCACAGCUGGGGGUGCAUGCUUGUUCUAACAGCAUUCUCCACCAUGUUUUGUCAUUGAUCACAGAUCUGUCAUUUUGCUUUUAAAUCAGCUCACUGUCCCAUCAAGAUGUCCCAGAGCAUUUACUCACUCCCAUGCUUGUCUGCUUGUUGGAUGAUGCUUUUAAGCAUGGAAUGAUGUGAAGGAAAAAAACAGAAUGGCCUUUGCGA
RNAcentral lists this small RNA (387 nucleotides) under Pongo abelii (Sumatran orangutan). Its description in RNAcentral is "retained intron". The record is from RNAcentral. Lineage: Eukaryota; Metazoa; Chordata; Mammalia; Primates; Hominidae.